GACGAACGCUGGCGGCGUGCCUAAUACAUGCAAGUCGAGCGGAUCAAAGGGAGCUUGCUCCCAGAGAUUAGCGGCGGACGGGUGAGUAACACGUGGGCAACCUGCCCUGUAGACUGGAAUAACACCGAGAAAUCGGUGCUAAUACCGGAUAACACCUUUCUUCUCAUGGAGGAAGGGUAAAAGUUGGGAUUACUAACACUACAGGAUGUGCCGGCGGCGCAUUAGCUAGUUGGUAAGGUAAUGGCUUACCAAGGCGACGAUGCGUAGCCGACCUGAGAGGGUGAUCGGCCACACUGGGACUGAGACACGGCCCAGACUCCUACGGGAGGCAGCAGUAGGGAAUCUUCCGCAAUGGACGAAAGUCUGACGGAGCAACGCCGCGUGAGUGAUGAAGGUUUUCGGAUCGUAAAGCUCUGUUGUUAGGGAAGAACAAGUGCCGUUCGAAUAGGUCGGCACCUUGACGGUACCUAACCAGAAAGCCACGGCUAACUACGUGCCAGCCGCCGCGGUAA
This 512-nucleotide ribosomal RNA is filed under the name uncultured bacterium. RNAcentral describes it as "partial 16S ribosomal RNA". It matches the Rfam family "Bacterial small subunit ribosomal RNA", at positions 28 to 523 of the family's 1533-position model. The record is from RNAcentral.